RNAcentral lists this long non-coding RNA (1415 nucleotides) under Monodelphis domestica (gray short-tailed opossum). RNAcentral's name for it is "lncRNA (ENSMODG00000040886.1)". Lineage: Eukaryota; Metazoa; Chordata; Mammalia; Didelphimorphia; Didelphidae. The record is from RNAcentral.
AACUUAAUGGCUGUGAUGCACAAUUGAUACUUUGUCUGGAUUUUAGUGAUCUCUUCUUACAUUUGGCUUCCUAAAUCAACUUCAUAUCUUCAACAGUCAAAGUUGUGCAUUAAACUUCUUUGUAUCUUUGAUCAAUAGUGGUGCUGAAUUGUUUUUUGAGGGGGUUGGGGGUUGUUAAUUCAUUCUUAUUAGACAUGGAUAUCUUUUUACACAUUUGAUUUUAUUUAUAAUCUAAUCAAAAGGCUCAUAUAUAUUAAGUUUAUUUGGCAACAUCAUAAUCUUUUAAAAAAGAAACAGAAAUUAGGCAUAGUUGUGUUCAUAAAGUGUUUUGUGGAGACUCAAAGAAGUCUUAGAUUUCACUUUGUCCAACCCAGGUACAAAAAGAAUCCCCACAAUAGUAUACCAAAUAAUUGAUUGUUCAAGGUUGAAUGGGACUUGCUUCUUAAAAGAUAGAGUUCUGUUGUUCUUCCUUAAGUGUUUCUUUUUAUUAUUAUAAAAGAUCACAUACCCCUAUUUCCUUUCAUUGAUAAAAGGUAUACAAUUCAAGGAAGAAGACUUGGAUGAUCAAGUUAUUGUUUUAGUUCAAUGACAUUCUGCAAAGAACUGAGAGCUUAAUGUUUCACCAAGGAAAUUGAAUUCCUUCCAUUUGAAUUGUCUCAGGAAGAUUCUGAAGGUCAUCUGGCAAGAUAAGGUACCAGACACUGAGGUCCUUUCUUAAGCUGAAGCACCAAAGCCUUCCAACUCCACUGGAGAGAGCUCAACUCCAAUGGCUGGCCACGUUAUUGGAAUGCCAAACCCACAGUUGCCUGAAAGACUAUUUCACCAGAAAAUUGAUAUGACCUACUAUCAACACUUUACUGUAUUAAGCAAUUGAAGAGAUUUUUAAAAAAGGAAAUAAGACACAUUCCUUGAUGCUGUGGAGCUCGUAAAUAAAUAUAAUGCAAACCAAUGCAUGAUAUGCGUAUGAAGACAGUUCUUCAGGAACAAGGAUCAUCAGGGAGAGGAGGAAAGGAAUCAGAAAAAGCAUCAUGAGACAGAUUUAAAAUUUUGUGUGUGGACCUAUGCUUGGGCAAGAAUUUUUCAGGAAGGAGCUUCACCAGAUCAGGAAACCUGUUGUUAUCAUCUGGUUCAAGAGCUUGCUCAAAAGGGAUAUAAGAUUUCAAAGAUCAAGGUACAGUAUUGUAUGUCACAAGUAGAAUAUUUGGGUUUUAUCUUGUCGAUAGGAAAGAGAACUAUUUCACUAAAGAGAGUUCAGGCUUUGCAGAACCUAUCCAUUCCUAAGACUAAGAAACAAGUACGAGCUAUAUCAGGGGCAGCAGGUUAUUGUUGUGCCUGAAUAUUGACCUAUUGGGAAAAUUGUUAAGCCUGUCACUGAAUUGACAAAGAAUUUGGUCACUGAGCCUUUGGAGGUGAAA